GACGGCGCAGUAUCCUAGUCGGGAUGGCCAUUUUACAGGAAGGGCCUAAAAAUCCUUUGAAGGGCACAUCGAUGAAGUCCCUGGUGUCUGCUUUUUACGCCCAGUUUAGGGUGGAUGCUGGGGGUUAAGGAUUCCGGGCGCGUCCCAAUGGCAUGGGACAUACGACCCGGUCUCCGUGGAGACCUGAAUUUGUGCGACGGCGGAAAAUGACCCCAUGUUGGGGAACCGUCCGCGUACGAACCAGGAUAGGAACCUGCAAGGCAGUGCGCAGAAUCGUGUGCUGCGUGUAGCGUAGCCUGCCUUGAGUGAACAAGUGGGGAAAGAGGAUCAUGCGGCUGGCUGCUAUGGCCAUGGCAGCUGCCGAUAUCGCCUCUGGAAACCUUGUUUGCAAAAGAGGCUAAGACUAUGGUUCGUCCUGCCGUGGAAAACACCUAGGCUGUCGUAACUGGGCAGGCAGGGGAUUACAGUACGGACUAAGUGGCAAUCGGGUAGUCAAAUUUGGCAACACUUGAACAGAGGAAUGAAAUGGAAACGGCCUGUUCGGCAACGGCAGGUUUCCUCUGGGGAAAACCAACCCGACCUAAGCCGUAAGAUUUAUUCUGUCUGCUGCCGUCUAUCUUUCAU
This 624-nucleotide small RNA is filed under the name uncultured Faecousia sp. The record is from RNAcentral. Lineage: Bacteria; Bacillati; Bacillota; Clostridia; Eubacteriales; Oscillospiraceae.